GCUAUAGGGACUUGGCACAGCUGCUGCAUUAGCUUUUGCCAACACCCCACAUAUAGCCGCUCCUUCAACGACGAAGGGCCGAGCUUCCCGAGAGAACGGGACCAGGACAAAGGCGUCCUCGCUAGCUGACUAGCGGGGAUGCC
Molecule: small RNA, 143 nt
Filed under: Pseudomonas sp. bs2935
Lineage: Bacteria; Pseudomonadati; Pseudomonadota; Gammaproteobacteria; Pseudomonadales; Pseudomonadaceae
Description: Pseudomonas sRNA P11
Rfam family: Pseudomonas sRNA P11
About the family: P11 is located between a putative threonine protein kinase and putative nitrate reductase and appears to be conserved in several Pseudomonas species. P11 has a predicted Rho independent terminator at the 3'end but the function of P11 is unknown.
Source: RNAcentral